Misgurnus anguillicaudatus (oriental weatherfish) is the source of this 954-nucleotide non-coding RNA. The record is from RefSeq and is a predicted model, not a curated record. NCBI's taxonomy places the organism in Eukaryota, Metazoa, Chordata, Actinopteri, Cypriniformes, Cobitidae.
GACCGCUCGCUUGUGGAUUACACUUCACUCUAUUGACUGUUUGUUUCUCGGAUCUACUGGUUCGCUUCGUCAUUAGGCGGUACACCAGCUGUCUCUGUUUCCCACCGGCUGACUUCAUCACCCGCGGUAUACCAGUUACUUCCGGGUGGCUACAUCUGCAUCAGGAUUCUUCAGUGGAUUACUCCGUCGGUGAACUUGGAUUUACCAUCUUCCAUCUCUGCCUGUCAUCCGCCGUCAGGGCGGCGUGUUUCAUCCCUCUGUCGUGUGGGUGACAGUGCUGGUGUUCUCGACGGAGAGCGGGGGUGGCUCUCUCUCUCUCAGAUCUGUACUGGACUUUUGUAGUGCCGGCUCACUCUUCCUGCUGUGGGCGUGCUUCAUUCCCACAGUAGUGAUCCCAUCCAGAGUGAGUCGAGGGUGUAUGCCGUGUGUGGAUUACCAGUGACUUUGCUCUCCAUCUCUCUCAUUUUUCUAAAAUAACUCUGUUAACUUGCAAUUGACUCCGAAGUUUUUCCUGACAGAUAAGUUCAACAAGAAUUCUUAUGGAUUAGAGAAAAAGUUAAGGUCAACCUGUCUGGAUAAAUAUUAAGGUCUUUUUGGGAAAUUCUAAGUUGAAAGAUAUAUUUUGUAGGCCACAAUUUGGUAAUUUUUGUCAAUGUUAGUAUGUUAACGAAAACAUUAACAUAGAAAAAGGAAAGAUAGAGAUUUCAGAAUGAUACAGUACAAGAAAAUGUAAGCCAUAGACUGAAAAAUUCAAUAGGAAAUCAAGGAUAAAUCAACUACAAAAACUUUAGAUCUAUUACAUCAAAGAGGCUAGCGUAAGGUGUACAAGUGAGAAGAGAAAUGGUAUUAGAAGAAGACUAUAAUCAAAUAAUAGCAACAUAUACAAUGAAGGUAUAUGAGGAUGAUACAAUGAAGAUGUUUGGAGAAUUAUUUUGGAUUUGUAGAAAAAGAAAA